GCUUGACGUUUCUCAUGAAAGCUAUGUAGACUAUUGACGUUGCUCGCUACUAUCUUCUCUCCAAUCUUCUGGGUGCCCCCUUUUUGUUCCACUUUGUUAUCGACUGGCAGGCGUUGGCUGGAGCAAGUGCGCUAUUUGGUAAUUUCGAAUGCACCUCCUAUCAGAAGCACUUGGAGUUCUACCUUUUUGAGCUCGUCCACUCAGAUGCAAUGAUUGUCCAACGACAAGAAAACCUACGCAAUCCACGGUUGCCCGGAUGUGAAAUGCACUUUCGCAGCCAAAUAUGACAAAAACGAUCUGAUCAUCAUCGAGACAAAAUCAAGGGCUGCAGCUACUUCGGCCGAGCCACCAUGAUAGGAUGCACCAGCUCCAGCCUUGGUCUUGGAGAUUGCAGUUAACAUGGAGUUCGGAACUCAUGCUCCCACCAAUUUAUUAGCAGAGGCCACUGCAGUAACACAAUGUUUUUCCUUUUUGCUGAAAUUUCCAAAGCAUGGAAGUGACAAAAUCCAAGAA
Molecule: long non-coding RNA, 513 nt
Organism: Rhodamnia argentea
Lineage: Eukaryota; Viridiplantae; Streptophyta; Magnoliopsida; Myrtales; Myrtaceae
Exons: 2
Source: RefSeq, a predicted model, not a curated record